This 376-nucleotide ribosomal RNA is filed under the name uncultured organism. Its description in RNAcentral is "partial 16S ribosomal RNA". It matches the Rfam family "Bacterial small subunit ribosomal RNA", at positions 527 to 896 of the family's 1533-position model. The record is from RNAcentral.
GUAGGUGGCAAGCGUUGUCCGGAAUUAUUGGGGCGUAAAGCGCGCGCAGGCGGGUUUUUUAAGUCUGAUGUGAAAGCCCACGGGCUCAACCGUGGGAGGGGUCAUUGGAAACUGGAGAACUUGAGUGCAGAAGAGGAGAGCGGAAUUCCACGUGUAGCGGUGAAAUGCGUAGAGAUGUGGAGGAACACCAGUGGCGAAGGCGGCUCUCUGGUCUGUAACUGACGCUGAGGCGCGAAAGCGUGGGGAGCAAACAGGAUUAGAUACCCUGGUAGUCCACGCCGUAAACGAUGAGUGCUAAGUGUUAGAGGGUUUCCGCCCUUUAGUGCUGCAGCAAACGCAUUAAGCACUCCGCCUGGGGAGUACGGUCGCAAGACUG